RNAcentral lists this ribosomal RNA (323 nucleotides) under uncultured eukaryote. RNAcentral's name for it is "partial 18S ribosomal RNA". It matches the Rfam family "Eukaryotic small subunit ribosomal RNA", at positions 1470 to 1796 of the family's 1831-position model. The record is from RNAcentral.
CCCUUAGAUGUUCUGGGCCGCACGCGCGCUACACUGAUGCAUGCAACGAGUUCUAUCCUUGGCCGGAAGGCCUGGGUAAUCUGUGAACGUGCAUCGUGAUAGGGAUAGAUUAUUGCAAUUAUUAAUCUUGAACGAGGAAUUCCUAGUAAACGCAAGUCAUCAGCUUGCAUUGAUUACGUCCCUGCCCUUUGUACACACCGCCCGUCGCACCUACCGAUCGAAGGUAAUGAUGAGCCCUCAGGAUUGUGGCCUCGUCGCGUCAGCGUCUCGGCUGCGAGAAUCUGUGCAAAUCCCUACCUUUAGAGGAAGGUGAAGUCGUAACA